RNAcentral lists this ribosomal RNA (492 nucleotides) under uncultured bacterium. Its description in RNAcentral is "partial 16S ribosomal RNA". It matches the Rfam family "Bacterial small subunit ribosomal RNA", at positions 29 to 507 of the family's 1533-position model. The record is from RNAcentral.
AGUGAACGCUGGCGGUAGGCCUAACACAUGCAAGUCGAACGGCAGCACAGUAAGAGCUUGCUCUUACGGGUGGCGAGUGGCGGACGGGUGAGGAAUACAUCGGAAUCUACUUUUUCGUGGGGGAUAACGUAGGGAAACUUACGCUAAUACCGCAUACGACCUACGGGUGAAAUCAGGGGAUCUUCGGACCUUGCGCGAUUGAAUGAGCCGAUGUCGCAUUAGCUAGUUGGCGGGGUAAAGGCCCACCAAGGCGACGAUCCGUAGCUGGUCUGAGAGGAUGAUCAGCCACACUGGAACUGAGACACGGUCCAGACUCCUACGGGAGGCAGCAGUGGGGAAUAUUGGACAAUGGGCGCAAGCCUGAUCCAGCCAUACCGCGUGGGUGAAGAAGGCCUUCGGGUUGUAAAGCCCUUUUGUUGGGAAAGAAAAGCAGCAGGUUAAUACCCCGAUGUUCUGACGGUACCCAAAGAAUAAGCACCGGCUAACUUCGUG